UACGGAGGGUGCAAGCGUUAUCCGGAUUCACUGGGUUUAAAGGGUGCGUAGGUGAGUCUGUAAGUCAGUGGUGAAAUCCCCGGGCUCAACCCGGGAACUGCGUCCGAUACUGGAAGGCUUGAAUCCGGGAGAGGGAUGCGGAAUUCCAGGUGUAGCGGUGAAAUGCGUAGAUAUCUGGAGGAACACCGGUGGCGAAGGCGGCAUCCUGGACCGGCAUUGACGCUGAGGCGCGAAAGCCAGGGGAGCAAACGGG
This 253-nucleotide ribosomal RNA is filed under the name uncultured bacterium. RNAcentral's name for it is "partial 16S ribosomal RNA". It matches the Rfam family "Bacterial small subunit ribosomal RNA", at positions 524 to 776 of the family's 1533-position model. The record is from RNAcentral.